UACGUAGGUGACCAGCGUUGUCCGGAUUUCCUGGGCGUAAAGAGCGCGCAGGCGGUCGUUCAAGUCGAGUGUGAAAGCCCCCGGCUCAACUGGGGAGGGUCAUUCGAUACUGAUCGACUUGAAGGCAGGAGAGGGAAGUGGAAUUCCCGGUGUAGUGGUGAAAUGCGUAGAUAUCGGGAGGAACACCAGUGGCGAAGGCGACUUCCUGGCCUGUUCUUGACGCUGAGGCGCGAAAGCUAGGGGAGCAAACGGG
This 253-nucleotide ribosomal RNA is filed under the name uncultured bacterium. Its description in RNAcentral is "partial 16S ribosomal RNA". It matches the Rfam family "Bacterial small subunit ribosomal RNA", at positions 524 to 776 of the family's 1533-position model. The record is from RNAcentral.